Molecule: ribosomal RNA, 500 nt
Filed under: fungal sp.
Lineage: Eukaryota; Fungi
Description: eukaryotic LSU rRNA
Rfam family: Eukaryotic large subunit ribosomal RNA
Source: RNAcentral
CUUAGUAACGGCGAGUGAAGCGGCAACAGCUCAAAUUUGAAAGCUGGCCCUUUUAGGGUCCGCGUUGUAAUUUGUAGAGGAUGAUUCGGCGAGGGCUCCUGCCUAAGUCCCCUGGAACGGGGCGUCAUAGAGGGUGAGAAUCCCGUAUGCGGUAGGUUGCCUUAGCCAUGUGAAUCUCCUUCGACGAGUCGAGUUGUUUGGGAAUGCAGCUCUAAAUGGGAGGUAAAUUUCUUCUAAAGCUAAAUACUGGCCAGAGACCGAUAGCGCACAAGUAGAGUGAUCGAAAGAUGAAAAGCACUUUGGAAAGAGAGUUAAAAAGUACGUGAAAUUGUUGAAAGGGAAGCGCUUGCAACCAGACUUGUCCGCAGUUGCUCAGCCGGUCUCCUGACCGGCGUACUCUUCUGCGGCCAGGCCAGCAUCAGUUCGGGCGGUCGGAUAAAGGCCUCGGGAAUGUAGCUCCUCUCGGGGAGUGUUAUAGCCCGGGGUGGAAUGCGACCAGC